UCGCGGGAUGGAGCAGUCUGGUAGCUCGUCGGGCUCAUAACCCGAAGGUCGUAGGUUCAAAUCCUGCUCCCGCAA
Molecule: transfer RNA, 75 nt
Filed under: Enterococcus faecium E980
Lineage: Bacteria; Bacillati; Bacillota; Bacilli; Lactobacillales; Enterococcaceae
Also listed under: 4 other names
Description: tRNA-Met
Rfam family: tRNA
About the family: Transfer RNA (tRNA) molecules are approximately 80 nucleotides in length. Their secondary structure includes four short double-helical elements and three loops (D, anti-codon, and T loops). Further hydrogen bonds mediate the characteristic L-shaped molecular structure. tRNAs have two regions of fundamental functional importance: the anti-codon, which is responsible for specific mRNA codon recognition, and the 3' end, to which the tRNAs corresponding amino acid is attached (by aminoacyl-tRNA synthetases). tRNAs cope with the degeneracy of the genetic code in two manners: having more than one tRNA (with a specific anti-codon) for a particular amino acid; and 'wobble' base-pairing, i.e. permitting non-standard base-pairing at the 3rd anti-codon position.
Source: RNAcentral